CCUCCUUUCAUCACUGACCAGUGCUUUCUCAUUCUCUGUCUCGCGAUAAUUACUGCCACUCUUUGUUGCCAUUUUUGCUGUGCCUACCAAUCUAAGACGCCACCACUCAGUCUGCUUUGCCGUCGUGGUCAUUCUUGUUCAUGGUUUCCAGCAGAUUUUGAGAUAUUUACAAGGCACUCAAAAUCUGGGAAUUCUAUUAAGGGUGGAGGAAAUGAAGAAUUAAUUGCUUAUACUGGCAGUGAUUAUGCAGGGGAUCUUGUUGGCAGGAGGAGUGAUCUCUUGGUGUUAAAGAAACAAUCUGUGGUCAAUGUGUUUAUAGCAGCUGCUUUAUGUGUGUGUUAAUGUGUUUGGCUAAGAAGAAUUCUAGAGCAUCCAGAUCACUGUCAGGAAGGUGCUACUGUGAUGUUUUGUGAUAAUGUCUCUACAAUUAAGUUAUUCAAAAAUCCAGUUUUACAUGGAAGAAGUAAACACAUGUUGGGUUUCAUUUCUUAAGAAACUUAUGUAAUGAUGGUGUUAUUGAGUUAAAUUAUUGCUACAAGAGAUCAGCUAUCAGCCAUCAUGACUCAUGACAAAGCCACUUAAAGUUGAAGUUUUUUAGCAGCUACGAAGUGCUUUGGGCUUGCUUGAGGAUUCUGAAAGAAAUUGUUGCAAGGAGCAUGCAAUUUAAGGGAGGGAUUGUAGACUGAGUCAAAUAUUUUGUUUUCUGUUUUAUAUAUUUAUCUGAUUUUGUUGCUGUUUUUAUUCGGUUACCCAUGUUUAGGAUUAUGUUGUUAGCACGUGGUGGAAUAUUUAGCUGAUUUUUAGGAGUUCCGUUGUAGUGCUAAGUCUAUAUACAGAGAAAAAAUUGUACAACAAAUGUUUUGACUCUUCAUAGCCAAAGCUAAGGUAGCAUAACAACUGGAACUAUAUUUUUCUGAAUGAUGAAGAAGAACUGGCUUUUAAAACAGA
Long non-coding RNA from Glycine soja, 948 nucleotides. RefSeq lists it as uncharacterized. The record is from RefSeq and is a predicted model, not a curated record. The transcript has 3 exons. NCBI's taxonomy places the organism in Eukaryota, Viridiplantae, Streptophyta, Magnoliopsida, Fabales, Fabaceae.